GCAAGUCGAACGGGAGGGAAAGAGAAGCUUGCUUACUUUUUGAAUCUAGUGGCAAACGGUGAGUAACACGUAAACAACCUGCCUUCAGGAUGGGGACAACAGACGGAAACGACUGCUAAUACCGAAUGNGUUCCGGAGACCCGCAUGAUCUACCAAGGAAAGGGUGGCCUCUACCUGUAAGCUAUCGCCUGAAGAGGGGUUUGCGUCUGAUUAGGCAGUUGGUGAGGUAACGGCCCACCAAACCUACGAUCAGUAGCCGGUCUGAGAGGAUGAACGGCCACACUGGAACUGAGACACGGUCCAGACUCCUACGGGAGGCAGCAGUGGGGGAAUCUUCCGCAAUGGGCGAAAGCCUGACGGAGCAACGCCGCGUGAGUGAUGACGGCCUUCGGGUUGUAAAGCUCUGUGAUCGGGGACGAACGGUCCGUUAAGCUAAUACCUUAUGGAAGUGACGGUACCCGAAUAGCAAGCCACGGCUAACUACGUG
RNAcentral lists this ribosomal RNA (487 nucleotides) under uncultured bacterium. Its description in RNAcentral is "bacterial SSU rRNA". It matches the Rfam family "Bacterial small subunit ribosomal RNA", at positions 57 to 507 of the family's 1533-position model. The record is from RNAcentral.